This 254-nucleotide ribosomal RNA is filed under the name uncultured bacterium. Its description in RNAcentral is "partial 16S ribosomal RNA". It matches the Rfam family "Bacterial small subunit ribosomal RNA", at positions 524 to 776 of the family's 1533-position model. The record is from RNAcentral.
UACGUAGGGUGCGAGCGUUGUCCGGAAUUACUGGGCGUAAAGAGCUCGUAGGCGGUUUGUCGCGUCUGGUGUGAAAAUCCAGGGCUUAACCCUGGACCUGCAUCGGGUACGGGCAGACUAGAGUGCGGUAGGGGAGAUCGGAAUUCCUGGUGUAGCGGUGAAAUGCGCAGAUAUCAGGAGGAACACCGGUGGCGAAGGCGGAUCUCUGGGCCGGUACUGACGCUGGAGGAGCGAAAGCGUGGGUAGCAAACAGG